Molecule: long non-coding RNA, 1231 nt
Organism: Bos taurus (domestic cattle)
Lineage: Eukaryota; Metazoa; Chordata; Mammalia; Artiodactyla; Bovidae
Source: Ensembl
AGGGCAACAGUGAAUGUGAAGGGUUCCAUGUGCCCCUCCCCACCCACUCUGGUUUUCCUGGCCAAGAAAGCAAUUCUUUCAUUCUUCAUGAUGGAUCAACCAUCUUGGAAAAUGAGAGUGACUCAGAAGAUUGUCAACCACCACGGACACCGCCCCGCGGGGGACUGUGGGUCUCCGGACGGCCACGCAUGUGCAGAAUUAAGGAACAGAUGGGUCCUACCUGUUGCUGACUUCCAGGUUCACUCAGAAGCCUUGAGCUCCCCCUGCACACAUGGUGUUGGGGUCACAAAGGGGUGGGAUGCCCACGUGAAAACAAGAAGUGCAUCCAGGCCAAGGGGCUGUGCAGAGGCGGGCAUGGACGAUGCCAGAACUGUCCACAGGGUGCAGGACCAAGGAUGCAACUGACUUUGGUCAGUUUUGGGGCCUCCUGCACUUGGCUCCUUUGGGGGUUUCAGGGUUCUCAGGGCUGAUGGGUCCCGCAUGAAGAGAGUCAUGACUGCAUUCUGUCCACCUGUGGGUUUUCACACAGGCCCGGCGCCCAGCUGCCUCUUGGCCCAGUCUUCAUCUUGGGCUACCCGCGGUACCCUGAAAACACACAAGACAGGGAAGAUGCGUUAACUCGGCUUCUCCCCACAGAACACGGCUCGCCAUUGCAGCCGUGAUUAAAUACAGGACAUUAUCUCACCAUAAUGCCCUCCUGGCCGUGUUCCCAGGAAAAUUCUAACUAAUCAUAAAAAUAGAAAGAAAAACGCAACCUAAAUUCCAUUCCUCUUCUUAAAUGAGUGAUGUGUUCACUUUUAUUUAUUUUUCUGGAAGCGAGGCGGGAAAAGAAAAUGAAUUUUAGGGCUUAGAAAAACAAGCUACUAAUAGUACUAAGUAGAGCAGGGUGGUGGUGCAGACAGCGGGAUGUAGCGGACAGGCCAGGGGCAGGUCCGGCCCUACCCCUGCCUGUGAGCCUGGAGCUUUAAAUGGGAGCACCUCGUGGAGCAAAGACAGCAGGAGGAGAGGAGGUUGGGUGGCUGUGGGGCCAGGUGUAGGCAUACAUGCACACAGACGCACGCACCCCACAAGCGAGGUGCUCAGCAGCAUCUUCACGGCCUGGCAGGCAAGCACAAAGUCAAUGCUCCUUUCACCCAAAGCCUGCAUCUUUCUCUAGCACCAUCCUUUCUGGAGGCUCUGGCGUGAUUUGGCUAGUCCCUGCCUGAAAGAGUUUCUCCUGGAGAUUCACCUA